This is a long non-coding RNA of Euleptes europaea (tarantolino), 253 nucleotides long. RefSeq lists it as uncharacterized. Lineage: Eukaryota; Metazoa; Chordata; Lepidosauria; Squamata; Sphaerodactylidae. The transcript is spliced from 3 exons. The record is from RefSeq and is a predicted model, not a curated record.
AGUUUGCAGAAUGGAAGAACUUUGAGUGAAAGACAGACAAGCUCUGCUUCAGCAUGGAUUCUAUUACGGUUGAUGGGGAGCCUGAUAAAGCUUCGCAUCAUGGUGAGAUCAGAGACUCCCAGGGACCCUCAACUGUGGUAACAAGCAAUGAUGAGUCUCAUGUACUGACUCCAGGAAAGAUGAGCCAGCGCCAGGGAAAAGAAGGGUAUCUUACUCCAACCAAAGAACCAUUCCAGCCGUCACUCAGUCCAGG